This 495-nucleotide ribosomal RNA is filed under the name uncultured archaeon. RNAcentral describes it as "bacterial SSU rRNA". It matches the Rfam family "Archaeal small subunit ribosomal RNA", at positions 858 to 1351 of the family's 1478-position model. The record is from RNAcentral.
UAAGGAAUUGGCGGGGGAGCACCACAAGGGGUGAAGCCUGCGGUUCAAUUGGAGUCAACGCCAGAAAUCUUACCCGGAGAGACAGCAGAAUGAAGGUCAAGCUGAAGACUUUACCAGACAAGCUGAGAGGUGGUGCAUGGCCGUCGCCAGCUCGUGCCGUGAGAUGUCCUGUUAAGUCAGGUAACGAGCGAGAUCCUCGCCACUAGUUGCUAUCAUUAUUCUCAGGAAUAGUGGGGCGAAUUAGUGGGACUGCCGUUGUUAAAACGGAGGAAGGAGGGGGCUACGGCAGGUCAGUAUGCCCCGAAACUCUGGGGCCACACGCGGGCUGCAAUGGUAGCGACAAUGAGCUCCAAACUCGAAAGAGAGUGGCAAUCUCUAAACGCUACCACAGUUAUGACUGAGGGCUGUAACUCGCCCUCACGAAUAUGGAAUCCCUAGUAACCGCGUGUCAUUACCGCGCGGUGAAUACGUCCCUGCUCCUUGCACACACCGCCA